Long non-coding RNA from Anser brachyrhynchus (Pink-footed goose), 2234 nucleotides. Lineage: Eukaryota; Metazoa; Chordata; Aves; Anseriformes; Anatidae. The record is from Ensembl.
AUUUGUGAAUAAUGAAGUGGCUUGGUAGCAGAACAUACUUAUCUGUGCUGCAUAACCUACAGUUUCAGUUUGCCCGAGCUUAGGUUUUACGAGCUUUUUGAAGGUUUUCAAGCAAUGCACAGGGAGUUAGGAGAGCAUGGAAAGCUUGCUCUCUGUCAGCUCCUGUUCCAAACAGCUGUGCCUGCAAUAGGCUGAGGUGCUCCUUCCUUAUCUGGAGUAGGGAGAAAUUGUUUAAUACUAAUGAAUGAAACAGAUAGGAAGACAAGCGAACAGCUAAAUGGUAUUUGAGACUAUGGCACAAGUGUUGGCUGUGUGUCGGGAGAAGUGGGUAUUAUUAAAAGAGACUGGAAUUAAAAAGGGGAGUGUGCUUACUCGCACAAUGUGAAGGAAGGACCGCUGUAUGUUAACGGGGAAGAUGCGAGCAAAAGAUUAUGGUACUAGGCGGCUGGGAGCGAAUGCUACGAGAGAAACCGAUUUGCACUGGUUUAUUGAGCAAGAAGUGGGGAAGCGAGGGGAACCGACUGGCGGUACCGAACCAGGCUGGAGCAGGCGGCAGCUCGCGGCUGACGGCCGCGGGGCCAGCGGCGGACGGGCGGGGCCGCGGCCGGCGGAGCGCGGAUUGGGUGCGAGGCCUGCUCGCCCGAGGCCCGCCCGGGGCUAACGCUGGGACGGACGUCAGGGGCCGCGGUUCCCAUGGUGACGGCCCCCCCACCGGACAGGCGGGGCCCACCAUGGUUCCCAUAGAGACACGGCCUGCAGCCACGAACAGGAAGACGGGCGGGUUGGCGUUGAGGCUGAUAUAAAUUCCGUUAAGCCCAUACGUGGAGCAACAGGAGUACCUAUCAACCUGCUCUUUAUGGAUAUGCUUGAAUUCUAAUGACAGUCACAUAGGUCAUCAGUGUGAGGAGUAUAUAAACCUGAAGCAUCACAUGGAGAGAAAAACCCAAGAAGUAGAAGGAGAGCUUGCUUGUCAGAAACAGGCUGAAGCUGGUCUACAGAAGACAGGCUACAGGUUGCAUGAAAUGGAAACUCUUUUUUCUGCUAUGACUGGUGAGGGAGAACAGACAAUACAAGCAUCAUCGUUGAACUGUGGUAUUUUACCUGAAGGAGAGAAACAGAUACUUCAAUAUGAUGAUAAAAGUUAUCUUAGAAAAGGUAUUCCAAUCUUGGAAAUACAGAAGCUGAAGGAGCAGAAUGCCAGCCUUCGGGCUGCUGUUGCACAAAUGAGGAAAGAAAUGGAGAGUCUGGAUGAACAGAUGCAGUCCUCUCUUCCUCUGACGGAACAAACUAUCACUGGCCUAACUGCAGAAAUCUCGUCACUCACUCCUGGUUCAUUUUGCACAGACCAAGUUUCAGUUAGAACCACGUUGAACAACAUCAAUGUCAGCUCAAAUAACUUGGGUUGUAUAAUAAACCCAAACACAGAAAAGGGGUCAAAAACCAAAGCUCUUGAACAAAAGACGGUCGAUUUUGGCCCUAUCUCAGAUAAUUGUUGUCCUGGUGUUAGUCUUCAGUAUGGUUUCAGCUGCCCUCUACACGGAAUGCAAAAUAUACUGAACGAAGCAGCAAGGAAAAUAUCAGUUCUGAGCCAAGAGAAGCAGCAGCUGAUUGAAAUGGGAAACAGACCCAGAACAGAUAUUGGAAUGGUAUUAAAGGAAGGACUUUGGCAUCCCAUUAGCUCUAAGCGCUGCACAGUUUGUGUUGCCUCUGGUAGCCUUUCUCCAAGAGAGCUUCUCAAAAGAACACAGUGUCAGCUUUCAGCUUUAAAGCAUCUACAACACAGACUUGCAACACAGGAGCUGCAGUAUGCAAAGCAACAACAUCUCUCAAGGAUCUCUUCCGUAAUUGCCUGCCCUAACUUAAAGGGAGAAAAAGCUCCAAGCAGCUGUGGGGAAGAAACAGAAUUACCAUCUGCUCAGGUUAAGCUAGAUAUCUCUACUGGAAAUUGUGGGCCAGAGCAACAAAAGGCACAUGCAUCCUCAAAGAUGGUUCAAAGUCAGCCGCUCAAGGAAAGUCCUAGUCAAGCCCAGCAGACCUGGAUUUCUUCAUCUAGAGCACAUAGAUCUUGCCAAGGUAUUUGGCAAACCUUAGAAAUGAGAUCAAGCCCUUCUAUUCUCAAUUCUCAAAACAACACUAAACAAGGUAAGCAUGCUGUGCAAAGUAAUUUGACUCAUCUAGAAGAAAACAAGUAUAGUAGUGGACUCUGCCACAUUCCGCUAAUUAUUUUUACAUAA